GUGGUUAUUUAAUGCAAGAAAUAUCUGAGAGUUAUAUUAAAGAUGGAGGAUGAAAUAAAUCAGAAGAGCA
Oxyura jamaicensis (ruddy duck) is the source of this 70-nucleotide long non-coding RNA. RefSeq lists it as uncharacterized. NCBI's taxonomy places the organism in Eukaryota, Metazoa, Chordata, Aves, Anseriformes, Anatidae. The transcript has 3 exons. The record is from RefSeq and is a predicted model, not a curated record.